AAUUUCAGGAGAUUACUG
This 18-nucleotide small nuclear RNA is filed under the name Arabidopsis thaliana (thale cress). Its description in RNAcentral is "snRNA_01120". Lineage: Eukaryota; Viridiplantae; Streptophyta; Magnoliopsida; Brassicales; Brassicaceae. The record is from RNAcentral.